UUUCACUUAUGACUAUGUUUAUGGUAGUACGAGAUCUCGGUCGUCUGCAAUAUACGAUGAUUGGGUAGCUCCACUUGUAGAUGGGCUUUUCAAUGGCUACAAUGCAACCGUUCUUGGAACAAAAUGUAUGAUGGCUUCUUCUUAGGAUAAAUCCUCUGAUGUUCGCAAGGCAGCAGAGGCUUGCAUUAAUGAAAUACUUAGAGUUAGUGGACAUGACAUGAGUCCUUUGAGUCAGCUAGAACAGUUUCAGUGAAUGCAACAUCAAAAUCAAAGGUUGGGAAAUCAACUGCCAAUGGUGUUUCAAAACAUGGAAAUAGAGCUGUAUGUUCGAGAGAUGUGGCAAUAAAGGGCGUCAAGUCUGAAUUAAUAUCUGUUCAUGAUAUAGCGGUCCAGUCUCA
Non-coding RNA from Cajanus cajan (pigeon pea), 398 nucleotides. The record is from RefSeq and is a predicted model, not a curated record. NCBI's taxonomy places the organism in Eukaryota, Viridiplantae, Streptophyta, Magnoliopsida, Fabales, Fabaceae.